This 68-nucleotide transfer RNA is filed under the name Nothobranchius kafuensis (Kafue killifish). RNAcentral describes it as "tRNA-Glu". It matches the Rfam family "tRNA". Rfam says of the family: Transfer RNA (tRNA) molecules are approximately 80 nucleotides in length. Their secondary structure includes four short double-helical elements and three loops (D, anti-codon, and T loops). The record is from RNAcentral. Lineage: Eukaryota; Metazoa; Chordata; Actinopteri; Cyprinodontiformes; Nothobranchiidae.
AUUCUUGUAGUUGAAUACAACGGUAGUUUUUCAAGCUGAUAGUCCUGGUUAAAAUCCUGGCGAGAAUC